UGGGGAAUAUUGCGCAAUGGGCGGAAGCCUGACGCAGCCACGCCGCGUGAGCGAUGAAGGUCUUCGGAUCGUAAAGCUCUGUGGGGAGAGAAGAAGAGGCCAGUUGAAGAGACUGGGAUGACGGUAUCUCCUUAGCAAGCACCGGCUAACUCUGUGCCAGCAGCCGCGGUAAUACAGAGGGUGCAAACGUUGCUCGGAAUUAUUGGGCGUAAAGCGCACGUAGGCGGUUUGUUAAGUUGGAUGUGAAAACCCUGGGCUCAACCCUGGAAGUGCAUCCAAGACUGACAAGCUAGAGUAUCGGAGGGGGUCGGAGAAUUCCCGGUGUAGAGGUGAAAUUCGUAGAUAUCGGGAGGAACAUCUGUGGCGAAGGCGCCGACCUGGACGAAAACUGACGCUGAGG
RNAcentral lists this ribosomal RNA (400 nucleotides) under uncultured bacterium. Its description in RNAcentral is "bacterial SSU rRNA". It matches the Rfam family "Bacterial small subunit ribosomal RNA", at positions 355 to 751 of the family's 1533-position model. The record is from RNAcentral.